RNAcentral lists this ribosomal RNA (331 nucleotides) under uncultured bacterium. Its description in RNAcentral is "bacterial SSU rRNA". It matches the Rfam family "Bacterial small subunit ribosomal RNA", at positions 568 to 898 of the family's 1533-position model. The record is from RNAcentral.
CGCGUAGGCGGUUUAUUCAAGUCGCAUGUGAAAUACCAGGGCUCAACCCUGGGAGGUCAUGCGAAACUGAUGGACUUGAGUGCAGUAGAGGAAAGCGGAAUUCCUGGUGUAGCGGUAAAAUGCGUAGAGAUCAGGAGGAACACCGGUGGCGAAGGCGGCUUUCUGGGCUGUAACUGACGCUGAGGCGCGAAAGCGGUGGGAGCAAACAGGAUUAGAUACCCUGGUAGUCCACGCUGUAAACGAUGAAUACUAGGUGUAGGGGACGCAGGUCUUCUGUGCCGGAGCUAACGCAAUAAGUAUUCCGCCUGGGGAGUACGGCCGCAAGGUUGAA